AUUGAACGCUGGCGGCAUGCCUAACACAUGCAAGUCGAACGAGUGGCGGACGGGUGAGUAAUGUCUGGGAAACUGCCUGAUGGAGGGGGAUAAGUACUGGAAACGGUAGCUAAUACAGCAAACCAUCGGAGGUGGCCAGAUGGGAUUAGCUAGUAGGUGGGGUAAAGGCUCACCUAGGCGACGAGCCCUAGCUGGGCUGAGAGGAUGACCAGCCACACUGGAACUGAUACACGGUCCAGCCUCCUACGGGAGGCAGCAGUGGGGAAUAUUGCACAAUGGGCGCAAGCCUGAUGCAGCCCUGCCGCGUGUAUGAAGAAGGCCUUCGGGUUGUAAAGUACUUUCAGCGGGGAGGCGUUACCCGCAGAAGAAGCACCGGCUAACUCCGUGCCAGCAGCCGCGGUAAUAC
RNAcentral lists this ribosomal RNA (406 nucleotides) under uncultured bacterium. RNAcentral's name for it is "partial 16S ribosomal RNA". It matches the Rfam family "Bacterial small subunit ribosomal RNA", at positions 30 to 526 of the family's 1533-position model. The record is from RNAcentral.